RNAcentral lists this ribosomal RNA (1189 nucleotides) under Mesobacillus subterraneus. RNAcentral's name for it is "bacterial SSU rRNA". It matches the Rfam family "Bacterial small subunit ribosomal RNA", at positions 56 to 1227 of the family's 1533-position model. The record is from RNAcentral. Lineage: Bacteria; Bacillati; Bacillota; Bacilli; Caryophanales; Bacillaceae.
UGCAAGUCGAGCGGAUCUUCAUUAGCUUGCUUUUGAAGAUCAGCGGCGGACGGGUGAGUAACACGUGGGCAACCUGCCUGUAAGACUGGGAUAACUUCGGGAAACCGGAGCUAAUACCGGAUAAUCCUUUCCCUCUCAUGAGGGAAAGCUGAAAGACGGUUUCGGCUGUCACUUACAGAUGGGCCCGCGGCGCAUUAGCUAGUUGGUGAGGUAACGGCUCACCAAGGCGACGAUGCGUAGCCGACCUGAGAGGGUGAUCGGCCACACUGGGACUGAGACACGGCCCAGACUCCUACGGGAGGCAGCAGUAGGGAAUCUUCCGCAAUGGACGAAAGUCUGACGGAGCAACGCCGCGUGAGCGAUGAAGGCCUUCGGGUCGUAAAGCUCUGUUGUCAGGGAAGAACAAGUACCGGAGUAACUGCCGGUACCUUGACGGUACCUGACCAGAAAGCCACGGCUAACUACGUGCCAGCAGCCGCGGUAAUACGUAGGUGGCAAGCGUUGUCCGGAAUUAUUGGGCGUAAAGCGCGCGCAGGCGGUUCCUUAAGUCUGAUGUGAAAGCCCCCGGCUCAACCGGGGAGGGUCAUUGGAAACUGGGGAACUUGAGUGCAGAAGAGGAGAGCGGAAUUCCACGUGUAGCGGUGAAAUGCGUAGAGAUGUGGAGGAACACCAGUGGCGAAGGCGGCUCUCUGGUCUGUAACUGACGCUGAGGCGCGAAAGCGUGGGGAGCGAACAGGAUUAGAUACCCUGGUAGUCCACGCCGUAAACGAUGAGUGCUAAGUGUUAGAGGGUUUCCGCCCUUUAGUGCUGCAGCAAACGCAUUAAGCACUCCGCCUGGGGAGUACGGCCGCAAGGCUGAAACUCAAAGGAAUUGACGGGGGCCCGCACAAGCGGUGGAGCAUGUGGUUUAAUUCGAAGCAACGCGAAGAACCUUACCAGGUCUUGACAUCCUCUGACAACCCUAGAGAUAGGGCGUUCCCCUUCGGGGGACAGAGUGACAGGUGGUGCAUGGUUGUCGUCAGCUCGUGUCGUGAGAUGUUGGGUUAAGUCCCGCAACGAGCGCAACCCUUGAUUUUAGUUGCCAGCAUUCAGUUGGGCACUUUAAGGUGACUGCCGGUGACAAACCGGAGGAAGGUGGGGAUGACGUCAAAUCAUCAUGCCCCUUAUGACCUGGGCUACACACGUGCUA